CGGCCAGACUCCUACGGGAGGCAGCAGUGGGGAAUAUUGCACAAUGGGGGAAACCCUGAUGCAGCGACGCCGCGUGAGUGAAGAAGUAUUUCGGUAUGUAAAGCUCUAUCAGCAGGGAAGAAGAAAGACGGUACCUGACUAAGAAGCCCCGGCUAACUACGUGCCAGCAGCCGCGGUAAUACGUAGGGGGCGAGCGUUAUCCGGAUUCACUGGGUGUAAAGGGAGCGUAGACGGCCAAGCAAGCCAGGGGUGAAAGCCCGGGGCCCAACCCCCGGACUGCUCUGGAAACUGUACGGCUGGAGUGCAGGAGAGGUAAGUGGAAUUCCUAGUGUAGCGGUGAAAUGCGUAGAUAUUAGGAGGAACACCAGUGGCGAAGGCGGCUUACUGGACUGUAACUGACGUUGAGGCUCGAAAGCGUGGGGAGCAAACAGGAUUAGAUACCCCGGUAAG
Molecule: ribosomal RNA, 450 nt
Filed under: uncultured bacterium
Lineage: Bacteria
Description: bacterial SSU rRNA
Rfam family: Bacterial small subunit ribosomal RNA
Source: RNAcentral